CGAACGCUGGCGGCGCGCCUAACACAUGCAAGUCGAACGAGCGAGAGAGAGUUUACUUUUUCGAGCGAGUGGCGAACGGGUGAGUAACGCGUGAGGAACCUGCCUCAAAGAGGGGGACAACAGUUGGAAACGACUGCUAAUACCGCAUAAGCCCACGACCCGGCAUCGGGUAGAGGGAAAAGGAGCAAUCCGCUUUGAGAUGGCCUCGCGUCCGAUUAGCUAGUUGGUGAGGUAAUGGCCCACCAAGGCGACGAUCGGUAGCCGGACUGAGAGGUUGAACGGCCACAUUGGGACUGAGACACGGCCCAGACUCCUACGGGAGGCAGCAGUGGGGAAUAUUGCACAAUGGGGGAAACCCUGAUGCAGCGACGCCGCGUGGAGGAAGAAGGUCUUCGGAUUGUAAACUCCUGUUGUUGAGGAAGAUAAUGACGGUACUCAACAAGGAAGUGACGGCUAACUACGUGCCAGCAGCCGCGGUAAAACGUAGGUCGCAAGCGUUGUCCGGAAUUACUGGGUGUAAAGGGAGCGCAGGCGGGAAGACAAGUUGGAAGUGAAAUCCAUGGGCUCAACCCAUGAACUGCUUUCAAAACUGUUUUUCUUGAGUAGUGCAGAGGUAGGCGGAAUUCCCGGUGUAGCGGUGGAAUGCGUAGAUAUCGGGAGGAACACCAGUGGCGAAGGCGGCCUACUGGGCACCAACUGACGCUGAGGCUCGAAAGUGUGGGUAGCAAACAGG
RNAcentral lists this ribosomal RNA (733 nucleotides) under uncultured Lachnospiraceae bacterium. RNAcentral describes it as "bacterial SSU rRNA". It matches the Rfam family "Bacterial small subunit ribosomal RNA", at positions 30 to 776 of the family's 1533-position model. Lineage: Bacteria; Bacillati; Bacillota; Clostridia; Lachnospirales; Lachnospiraceae. The record is from RNAcentral.